Molecule: unclassified non-coding RNA, 173 nt
Filed under: uncultured Ascomycota
Lineage: Eukaryota; Fungi; Ascomycota
Description: sequence contains ITS1
Source: RNAcentral
CUGAGAGCCCGGUAUGGGUAGCCCUAACCAGCUGCCCACAUCGUGUGCCUUCUUCCACCCUUUGUUUAUGAGCACCUUUAUUUUUCAUUCCUCGGUGGGGAGACCUGCCGCUGGAAUCAACCUUAAACUCUUGCAUUAAGCAUUUUAAAUUCUGAUAACCUAAUUAAUUAUUA